CAUGAUUUAGCCAGUACCCCCAAGCAGAGAGACCUUUAGUUUGGUACCCCGAAACCAGGUGAGCUACCCCGAGACAGCCUAUAUUAAUUUAGGGCUAACCCGUCUCUGUGGCAAAAGAGUGGGAAGAGCUCCGGGUAGAAGUGAAAGACCUACCGAACCUGGUGAUAGCUGGUUGACUGAGAAAUGGAUAGAAGUUCAGCCUCGCACACCCCAAACCAAAAAGUAUUAUCAACAAGAUAUUAAGGGAAACGUGCGAGAGUUAGUUGAAAGGGGUACAGCCCUUUUAACAAAGGAUACAACCUUUACAGGAGGAUAAAGAUCAUAAUGUAUAAGAUAUACUGUUCUAGUGGGCCUGAAAGCAGCCACCUAAACAGAAAGCGUUAAAGCUCGGACAGAAAGAAGUUUAUUAUACUGAUAAAAAAUCUUAUUCCCCUAGCUAUAUCAGACCAACCCAUGCCUCCAUGGAAGAGAUUAUGCUAAAAUGAGUAAUAAGAAGACCAGCUCUUCUCCCAGCACAAGUGUAAACCAGAUCGGACUAACCACUGGAACUUAACGAACCCAACCCCAGAGGGUAGUGUGAUUAACAAAAAACUCAAGAAGACCUCACAUUGAUUGAUCGUUAACCCCACACUGGAGUGCUAUUUUAAGGGAAAGACUAAAAGAAGGGGAAGGAACUCGGCAAACACAAGCCUCGCCUGUUUACCAAAAACAUCGCCUCCUGCAACUAGACUGAGUAUAGGAGGUCCAGCCUGCCCAGUGACUACGGGUUCAACGGCCGCGGUAUCUUGACCGUGCAAAGGUAGCGCAAUCACUUGUCUCUUAAAUAGAGACCUGUAUGAAUGGCUAGACGAGGGCUUAACUGUCUCCCCCCUCCAGUCAGUGAAAUUGAUCUAUCCGUGCAGAAGCGGGUAUAAAUAUACAAGACGAGAAGACCCUUUGGAGCUUAAGGUACAAAAUUCAGCCACGUUAAACAACUCCAUAAGAAGCAAGAACUUAGUGAUAAUGAAAUUUUACCUUCGGUUGGGGCGACCGCGGAGGAAAAACAAGCCUCCGAGUGGACUGGGCCAAAUCCCUGAAGCCAAUAGAGACAUCUAUAAGCCGCAGAACAUCUGACCAAAAAUGAUCCGGCUAAAAGCCGAUCAACGAACCAAGUUACCCAAGGGAUAACAGCGCAAUCCCCUCCCAGAGCCCAUAUCUACGAGGGGGUUUACGACCUCGAUGUUGGAUCAGGGCAUCCUAAUGGUGCAGCCGCUAUUAAGGGUUCGUUUGUUCAACGAUUAAAGUCC
RNAcentral lists this ribosomal RNA (1286 nucleotides) under Rhynchocypris lagowskii (Amur minnow). Its description in RNAcentral is "partial 16S ribosomal RNA". It matches the Rfam family "Bacterial large subunit ribosomal RNA", at positions 614 to 2596 of the family's 2925-position model. The record is from RNAcentral. Lineage: Eukaryota; Metazoa; Chordata; Actinopteri; Cypriniformes; Leuciscidae.